This is a long non-coding RNA of Triticum aestivum (bread wheat), 975 nucleotides long. RefSeq lists it as uncharacterized. The record is from RefSeq and is a predicted model, not a curated record. The transcript has 3 exons. Lineage: Eukaryota; Viridiplantae; Streptophyta; Magnoliopsida; Poales; Poaceae.
GAUUAGAGAAAUCCUGGCGUCUCUUCGGCUUUUCCUCCUCGAACGAUUCCUAUUCGAUCUAGGUGAGGGCAUGGCGUUAUCAUCGGCGACGCCACGUCCUUCGCCGCCGGAGAUCAUGUCACCCCGCCCUUCGAAGCAUGUCAUGCCACAACCUUCGCCGCAGGUGGUCAUAGAGAUGCUCCCUUCAGGCCAUGUCGCUCCUCUGUCUCCUGUUCGUCCUGGCAUCUCUUUUUUCUUUUUGCGAAAUCUCCUCCUCGUAUCUGCCCAAUCCCUGUACGAUGCAUCAUUUUUUUUCUGAAUUGAUAUGAACAUGUACGCUCUGUCCUUACAGCCUGUAUGAUGCAUCUUUGUUUUUUCUGAAUUCUAAUGAGGUCAUCCCUAAUUUUUGUGUGAAAUGAUAUGAACAUGUACUCUUAGUCCUUACUCCUUACUCCCUGUAUGAUGUAUCUUUGUUUUUCUGGAUUCUAAUGAACAUGUCAUGAAAUUCAUCCACCAACUGAUGUGCACUCAAAGGGGAGAUACAAAAGGAUUAAGGAGCACUUAGACAAGGGUUGACAAGGGAAGGAAAAUAAAGAUGGAGAAGGGAAGCAAAAUAAAAAUGGAGAGUGGAACAAAAAUGCCAGAGGACUGAAAAAGCCUCGCACGUGCAGGACUUGCAAGCAAGUUGGCUUCUAUGACAGUCGUAGUUGCGCCCAAAGGAAACUAAUGACCAUACAGGUUGUUUUAUUUUGAUUCGAGUCAACAGUGUGCUUUCUUUUUGGUGUGGCGCAAGAUGGAAAUUCAAAGCUUCAGUGUUAUAUAGUGGAUGCUACCACUUGUUUUAAUGCAGUAGAUUGUAGUACAAAAAGUAGAUGUAUACCUCUGAAUCUUGUGUUCUUCUGACAAUACACAAUACGUGGUGUCCUACAAAUGAACGCUAUGUACUGGAUGUUACCACUUGUUUUAACGCACUAUAUUGUGUUGAUUAUCUGAAUG